This 235-nucleotide ribosomal RNA is filed under the name uncultured bacterium. RNAcentral describes it as "partial 16S ribosomal RNA". It matches the Rfam family "Bacterial small subunit ribosomal RNA", at positions 796 to 1041 of the family's 1533-position model. The record is from RNAcentral.
CACGCCGUAAACUAUGAGAACUAAGUGUUGGAGAAAUCCAGUGCUGAAGUUAACACAUUAAGUUCUCCGCCUGGGGAGUACGUUCGCAAGAAUGAAACUUAAAGGAAUUGACGGGGGCCCGCACAAGCAGUGGAGCAUGUGGUUUAAUUCGACGCUACGCGAAGAACCUUACCAGGACUUGACAUCUGGCUAAAUACCCUAGAGAUAGGGGGAUAGUCAUAGCCAAGACAGGUGG